AACAAGCAUGCUACGAACAUGUUGUAACUCGAACAUGUUCGAUGGCAAAACAUAAACAAAACGAAAAAUGUGGAGCUAAAAAAGCAAAACACAACAACAAUAGCAGCAGCGGCAACAGCAACAGCAGCAACAACUACAAACAGACCCCAACAAACUAACGUGUUGGGGACUUUGGAACAAACGACAACCACAACAGUUAAUCAGUAACGUGAAUGCAAUCGAAACGAGUUGUUGUGUCAACGAAUAGAAAAUUUUGUAAAAGAAAGAAAAAACAAAUAAAUAACGUGGGGUUUUUUUCUUUCUAUGAAAAGAAAAAAAAGAGAGAAAAAACCAAUAACAAAACAAACGUUUGAUUGUUUAACGACUCAGUUUUAAAGUCAACCUAAAGAGAAAAAUAAAAAUCAUACACUCAACACAAAUUAGGUGUAUGACGUUGGAUCGAUAACAAAAAAGAUCUGUCGGUGUUUAAAUAAAAUUUCAAAACUUAAAUUUUUUUACUAUUUAAAAUAGUAAUGAAAUCUUAACACACCUUUAUCUAAGGCGCAAAAAAAAAGAAAUAAAUAUUUAAAGCAAAAAAUAUAUAAAAAUUAAAAAAAAAACAUAAAAAAUAU
This is a long non-coding RNA of Lucilia cuprina (Australian sheep blowfly), 611 nucleotides long. RefSeq lists it as uncharacterized. The record is from RefSeq and is a predicted model, not a curated record. The transcript is spliced from 2 exons. Lineage: Eukaryota; Metazoa; Arthropoda; Insecta; Diptera; Calliphoridae.